ACUUAAGAAAAUAAGUGCAAGCGGUUGAUGCCUUGGCAUUCAGAGGCGAAGAAGGACGUGAUAAUCUGCGAUAAGCUUCGGUUAGCUGGUAAAUGAGCUAUGAGCCGGAGAUUUCCGAAUGGGGGAACCCACCUGAC
RNAcentral lists this ribosomal RNA (137 nucleotides) under Francisella tularensis subsp. holarctica. Its description in RNAcentral is "partial 23S ribosomal RNA". It matches the Rfam family "Bacterial large subunit ribosomal RNA", at positions 1 to 136 of the family's 2925-position model. The record is from RNAcentral. Lineage: Bacteria; Pseudomonadati; Pseudomonadota; Gammaproteobacteria; Thiotrichales; Francisellaceae.